GGACACGUGGUAUCCUGUCUGAAUAUGGGGGGACCAUCCUCCAAGGCUAAAUACUCCUGACUGACCGAUAGUGAACCAGUACCGUGAGGGAAAGGCGAAAAGAACCCCGGCGAGGGGAGUGAAAAAGAACCUGAAACCGUGUACGUACAAGCAGUGGGAGCACGCUUAGGCGUGUGACUGCGUACCUUUUGUAUAAUGGGUCAGCGACUUAUAUUCUGUAGCAAGGUUAACCGAAUAGGGGAGCCGAAGGGAAACCGAGUCUUAACUGGGCGUUAAGUUGCAGGGUAUAGACCCGAAACCCGGUGAUCUAGCCAUGGGCAGGUUGAAGGUUGGGUAACACUAACUGGAGGACCGAACCGACUAAUGUUGAAAAAUUAGCGGAUGACUUGUGGCUGGGGGUGAAAGGCCAAUCAAACCGGGAGAUAGCUGGUUCUCCCCGAAAGCUAUUUAGGUAGCGCCUCGUGAAUUCAUCUCCGGGGGUAG
RNAcentral lists this ribosomal RNA (483 nucleotides) under Escherichia coli. Its description in RNAcentral is "partial 23S ribosomal RNA". It matches the Rfam family "Bacterial large subunit ribosomal RNA", at positions 420 to 905 of the family's 2925-position model. Lineage: Bacteria; Pseudomonadati; Pseudomonadota; Gammaproteobacteria; Enterobacterales; Enterobacteriaceae. The record is from RNAcentral.